UAGUAGUCAUACGCUCGUCUCAAAGAUUAAGCCAUGCAUGUGUAAGUAUAAAUAGUUAACUUUGAAACUGCGAAUGGCUCAUUAUAUCAGUUAUAGUUUAUUUGAUGAAGAAUACUAAUUGGAUAACCGUAGUAAUUCUAGAGCUAAUACAUGUAUAAAGUCUUGUAGACUGCAUUUAUUAGAAUGAAAACCAUAGGUUUCGGCCUAUUCGUGAGUAAUAAUAACUAAUCAUAUCGUAUGCUUAAGUAACGAUGUG
RNAcentral lists this ribosomal RNA (256 nucleotides) under Blastocystis sp. RNAcentral's name for it is "partial small subunit ribosomal RNA". It matches the Rfam family "Eukaryotic small subunit ribosomal RNA", at positions 18 to 294 of the family's 1831-position model. The record is from RNAcentral. Lineage: Eukaryota; Bigyra; Opalinata; Blastocystidae.